UAUCGUAUAAAAUGGAGGUGCUGGGGCUGUCGCUGACCUUUGAAAAAGGUCGUGCACGCCUGGAGCACACUCUCAUAUCCAUCUCACCCCUUUGUGCAUUGCCGCGUGGGUCCCCUUUUGGCUUGUUCCGAGGGGGUGACCUGCGUUUUUACAUAGACACCCUUUGAAUGCAUGUGUAGAACGUCUUACUUUUUGCGAUCACACGCAAUCAAUACAACUUUCAACAACGGAUCUCUUGGCUCUCGCAUCGAUGAAGAACGCAGCGAAAUGCGAUACGUAAUGUGAAUUGCAGAAUUCAGUGAAUCAUCGAAUCUUUGAACGCACCUUGCGCCCCUUGGUAUUCCGAGGGGCACACCCGUUUGAGUGUCGUGAAUACUCUCAACCGUCUUGGUUUCUUUGACCACGAAGGCUUGGACUUUGGAGGUUUUUCUUGCUGGCCUCUUUUGAAGCCAGCUCCUCCUAAAUGAAUGGGUGGGGUCCGCUUUGCUGAUCCUCGACGUGAUAAGCAUUUCUUCUACGUCUCAGUGUCAGCUCGGAACCCGCUUUCCAACCGUCUUUGGACAAAGACAAUGUUCGAGUUGUGACACGACCUUACAAACCUUG
RNAcentral lists this unclassified non-coding RNA (603 nucleotides) under Russula subvinosa. Its description in RNAcentral is "sequence contains ITS1, 5.8S rRNA gene, ITS2". The stretch from base 216 to 369 matches the Rfam family "5.8S ribosomal RNA". The record is from RNAcentral. Lineage: Eukaryota; Fungi; Basidiomycota; Agaricomycetes; Russulales; Russulaceae.